This 453-nucleotide ribosomal RNA is filed under the name Paenibacillus pabuli. RNAcentral's name for it is "bacterial SSU rRNA". The record is from RNAcentral. Lineage: Bacteria; Bacillati; Bacillota; Bacilli; Caryophanales; Paenibacillaceae.
GCAGUAGGGAAUCUUCCGCAAUGGGCGAAAGCCUGACGGAGCAAUGCCGCGUGAGUGAUGAAGGUUUUCGGAUCGUAAAGCUCUGUUGCCAGGGAAGAACGCUUGGGAGAGUAACUGCUCUCAAGGUGACGGUACCUGAGAAGAAAGCCCCGGCUAACUACGUGCCAGCAGCCGCGGUAAUACGUAGGGGGCAAGCGUUGUCCGGAAUUAUUGGGCGUAAAGCGCGCGCAGGCGGUCAUUUAAGUCUGGUGUUUAAUCCCGGGGCUCAACCCCGGAUCGCACUGGAAACUGGGUGACUUGAGUGCAGAAGAGGAGAGUGGAAUUCCACGUGUAGCGGUGAAAUGCGUAGAUAUGUGGAGGAACACCAGUGGCGAAGGCGACUCUCUGGGCUGUAACUGACGCUGAGGCGCGAAAGCGUGGGGAGCAAACAGGAUUAGAUACCCSGGUAGUCAG